This is a long non-coding RNA of Hemicordylus capensis (graceful crag lizard), 2236 nucleotides long. RefSeq lists it as uncharacterized. The record is from RefSeq and is a predicted model, not a curated record. The transcript is spliced from 3 exons. NCBI's taxonomy places the organism in Eukaryota, Metazoa, Chordata, Lepidosauria, Squamata, Cordylidae.
GGGAGCUGGAAGCAUGGCAAGUCCUCUGAAAACCUUCCUGGCCUUCCUCACCUGUGCUGUCGGUAAACUGGAAAGCCUCAUUACAGAAGCUGUGCUAUGAUUGGCCAUGAAGGACCAGGAGGCUGUCUGGGUCCUGGUGGAUAAACAAAAUGGGUAAAUGGAUCCAUAUGUCCAGAAAAGCAAGAGGCAGUAUAAUUCCAGUGCUAGGAACAAUCCAUGGUAAUGGCUGUGAACAUCAAGUUCUACUUGUGAGAGUCCCAGAGGCAUCUGGCUGGCACAGAAUACUGGACUUUGGUUUCAUUCUAAUUUGUAUUUCUAAUAUCUAAUUUCAUUCUAAUUUCAUUUGUAUCUGUUGUAGGGCAUAGCAUGAGAGCUGGCUCAGAGUCCUUUGCAUUUCCAAUACUGUGAACACAUUUACCAAGUGUUGCUGAUUUUUCUUCCAUCUUACUGCACAAUUUGAUAGUGCAGUCUUCAAGAUGUGCAGUGGAUCUUUCUAGCUGUCUAUAUCUAUCCAUCCAUGGCAUUCACAAUGUUACAAUUAUGGUACAGUCCAAGAGCAAAUAGUGUUUUAAAGCAUCUUAUGUGGUCGGCUUGUCAGGAAACCUCAUGCUAUGAGUGUCUUGUGUACAGUAAGGAAUGUGGUUUAUUUUGUCUCAGUAAAUGUCAGCAUAAUUGAAACUGCAGUGAUCAAUGUCCAGAGUGUCUUUAAACACAUAAGUGCUUCCUGUUCUUCCCCCUAAUUUUGCCCGGGAGAUCUAUAACAGUUUCCUAUUAUUGCUGUUUUUUCAUCAUUUCCUUCUUUCAUCUCAGUCCAAAUUGUCACAGCUGUAGUAAGGAGGUAGUAUUUAUAUAGAACCAUUUCCCUCCAAGGUUAUAUGUUGAGUUUCCUCCCUCCAUCUCCUUGUUCCAAGGCUUCUAUUGCAAAGUAUAUGGGGAAGAUAUAUACAUUCAAAUCGUUGCAGGCUUCCCCACCCAAAACUGUCUUCCCAAAACUGCUUUUCUACCAAUACUACAGAUAACAUAUUUUUUUCUUCUUUGCAGAGAAACGUUGCUGGGUGGGGAGAAGAGGGGGGUUGAACAAAAAAAUGGCUGGGAAUGAAAGGGUUAUGUGGCAUCUCCUUUUGUCAUUCCGAUCUACAGACUCCCAUUAUUGCUUUAAAAACAGAUCAGAAGACUGCUACACAUGUUCAAUGUUCUGGAGAAUUCAGUCCUAGCCAGCAUUUAUGGGGUUAAUUUGUUGUUUAGAUCUGUGAGAGCUCCCCUCAGUGUCUGGGGAGAGACAGGGUUUGAGGGCAGUAGUGACCCAAUGAUCAUUGGUCCAGAAGUGUCCUAAAAGGUCCAGUCAGAAGUCUGGCUUGAAAUCCUAUCAAAAAGGUGCCUGAAUUUACCAUUUCUCUAAUCCUCUUGGAAAGCUUAUGGACUAGAGGUGUAUAAAAGGAGGCUAGCUUUUGGCCAGAUGGGGAUAAUUAUAUGGCUAUGGAUGGAUGUGCCAAAGAAGAUGUCAGACUCUUCUCCAGCAGAGAAGCCAGGAGAGCUUCAGGAGCAGCAGCUAAAGGAGCUGAUAUUACUUGAAGAGACAGGCGGCAGGAGAAGUUGAGGGAGGAGCUGAGGAAGAGAGUCUUCAGAGCCAGGGAGCCAAGAAGCAGCAAUCACAGCAGGCCUCAUCUUAGGAUUUCCUCGUAUGCAAGAGAAAAGGGAGGAUUUCCUCUUUGAAGGUCAUGUUUGCCAUUUUAUAAAUAUUUGUUUCAAUAAUUUUAAAACUGUGCUGCCAAAUUAAGGAUACCUUUUCCCAUCAAUUAAAAGUUUUAAUCAAUUAAACUAAUGGUUAAAGUGAUUAAAUGUUGCAAAUAAUUGUUUGGAGUCUAGUCUCCUAAGAAAGAUAGCUUGAAAUUGCAUAAUGUUUGUUGUGGGCCACCUAUACAUAGCAGCAAGCAAAGCAAAACUAUACAGCUCUUCCCUCACUUGCCACUAAAUACAAGAUAAACCUAUUUUUAUUAAACUUGCUGGCUAAUGCAAGGUUUUGGGGUAAGGGAUGGGGCAUGGAGCAAGCUAUCAGGCCCACUUCCUGGGAAACCAUUGCCAUGUCUCCAUUUUCCAAUCGCAAUUUGUUUCCUUACGACCUUAUGAAGUCCUCCAUGGGAAAUUGUAGAUGCCAGCGAGCUGGAGGAUUAUCCAGACUUUGUGCCAGAUUUUGAAGAUUUUCCCAUUUUAUUCAAGCAUUUGCUUUCUAGAAAUA